Molecule: long non-coding RNA, 702 nt
Organism: Telopea speciosissima
Lineage: Eukaryota; Viridiplantae; Streptophyta; Magnoliopsida; Proteales; Proteaceae
Exons: 4
Source: RefSeq, a predicted model, not a curated record
CUUGAUGAAAUAUGUGAGACCAGGUGAAAGUGGUGGAUCAGUAGCUCUUAUGCAUGAGAUCAAGCGUGAUCUAAAUGCUUACUUCUCCAACUUGCUUAAAUCCCUAGUCAGGUCAUUAGCUGAUGUCAUUGCCUAUAAUAAAGAACAUGCAACAGAGGCAAGUAUUCAUGUCAUUAGACCUUUGUCACUUAUUUCUUUACUAGUUUCUUUACCCACGACACAGAAGCAGCCUGUGUCCGUCAUGAUAUUCUGCACACAUGAACCGCUGCCGUAUGAAUUGUUCAACAACUUGAUCGUAUUUACAUCAAUACAGUGUUGUUGCUUUUAUUGUUGUCUAUUAAUACUUAUAGUAUUAGUAUUAUCAAAUCUUGGUUGUCUAAGAUACUGAAUUCUACUCACAUAGAUUGCUGUUUGGAGAACAUUUCAGGGAAAUGAGUUAUAUGAUAAACCCUGUCUGGAUUCAAAAACUUUUUCAUUUUGUAAUUUAUUCUUAAAGUAGUUCUAGGAAAUAUAUACUAUAUCUAAUAACCUGUUUGAAGUUUAUAACCUUUUGAUAGCUUCCUGCAGGCAAUACAAUUUCUUAGCAUCAAAUCGGUUGGUUAUCUGAGGAAAAUUGUGCAUCAGAAUACAAUUAUACUACUUUACACUAUAAACAGUUUUCACAAAGAUAAUAGGGGACUAAAAAAGAAAGGUUCAAUACGA